GACGAACGCUGGCGGCGUGCUUAACACAUGCAAGUCGAGCGGUAAGGCCCUUUCGGGGGUACACGAGCGGCGAACGGGUGAGUAACACGUGGGUGACCUGCCCCGGACACCGGGAUAACCCAGGGAAACCUGAGCUAAUACCGGAUACUCCGGCGCGAUCGCAUGGUCGUGCCGGGAAAGCUCCGACGGUCCGGGAUGGGCCCGCGGCCUAUCAGCUUGUUGGUGGGGUAACGGCCCACCAAGGCGACGACGGGUAGCUGGCUGAGAGGACGGCCAGCCACACUGGGACUGAGACACGGCCCAGACUCCUACGGGAGGCAGCAGGUGGGGGAUCUUGCGCUAAUGCGCGAAAGCGUGACGCAGCGACGCC
Molecule: ribosomal RNA, 370 nt
Filed under: uncultured bacterium
Lineage: Bacteria
Description: bacterial SSU rRNA
Rfam family: Bacterial small subunit ribosomal RNA
Source: RNAcentral